Molecule: ribosomal RNA, 448 nt
Filed under: uncultured organism
Description: partial 16S ribosomal RNA
Rfam family: Bacterial small subunit ribosomal RNA
Source: RNAcentral
CACUCCUACGGGAGGCAGCAGUGGGGAAUAUUGGACAAUGGGCGCAAGCCUGAUCCAGCCAUGCCGCGUGAGUGAUGAAGGCCCUAGGGUUGUAAAGCUCUUUCACCGGUGAAGAUAAUGACGGUAACCGGAGAAGAAGCCCCGGCUAACUUCGUGCCAGCAGCCGCGGUAAUACGAAGGGGGCUAGCGUUGUUCGGAUUUACUGGGCGUAAAGCGCACGUAGGCGGACUAUUAAGUCAGGGGUGAAAUCCCGGGGCUCAACCCCGGAACUGCCUUUGAUACUGGUAGUCUUGAGUUCGAGAGAGGUGAGUGGAAUUCCGAGUGUAGAGGUGAAAUUCGUAGAUAUUCGGAGGAACACCAGUGGCGAAGGCGGCUCACUGGCUCGAUACUGACGCUGAGGUGCGAAAGCGUGGGGAGCAAACAGGAUUAGAAACCCCAGUAGUCCCAU